AGGGCACGUCUGCCUGGGUGUC
This 22-nucleotide non-coding RNA is filed under the name Arabidopsis thaliana (thale cress). The record is from RNAcentral. Lineage: Eukaryota; Viridiplantae; Streptophyta; Magnoliopsida; Brassicales; Brassicaceae.